This 446-nucleotide ribosomal RNA is filed under the name uncultured bacterium. RNAcentral's name for it is "partial 16S ribosomal RNA". It matches the Rfam family "Bacterial small subunit ribosomal RNA", at positions 338 to 795 of the family's 1533-position model. The record is from RNAcentral.
CCUACGGGUGGCAGCAGUCGAGAAUCAUUCACAAUGGGGGAAACCCUGAUGGUGCGACGCCGCGUGGGGGAAUGAAGGUCUUCGGAUUGUAAACCCCUGUCAUGUGGGAGCAAAUUAAAAAGAUAGUACCACAAGAGGAAGAGACGGCUAACUCUGUGCCAGCAGCCGCGGUAAUACAGAGGUCUCAAGCGUUGUUCGGAAUCACUGGGCGUAAAGCGUGCGUAGGCUGUUUCGUAAGUCGUGUGUGAAAGGCCCGGGCUCAACCCGCGGACGGCAGAUGAUACUGCGAGACUAGAGUAAUGGAGGGGGAAGCGGAAUUCUCGGUGUAGCAGUGAAAUGCGUAGAUAUCGAGAGGAACACUCGUGGCGAAGGCGGGUUCCUGGACAUUAACUGACGCUGAGGCACGAAGGCCAGGGGAGCGAAAGGGAUUAGAUACCCCAGUAGUC